This 299-nucleotide ribosomal RNA is filed under the name Toxometra bicolor. RNAcentral describes it as "partial 16S ribosomal RNA". It matches the Rfam family "Bacterial large subunit ribosomal RNA", at positions 2257 to 2643 of the family's 2925-position model. Lineage: Eukaryota; Metazoa; Echinodermata; Crinoidea; Comatulida; Antedonidae. The record is from RNAcentral.
UAUAAAAAAAUCUUUGGUUGGGGCAACCACGAAGAAAAAUUAACCUUCGUUCUUUAAAAAAAUAAACAAAUUUAAAAUUUAUAAUUUUGACCCAGAAAAUCUGAAAAUAGAAAAAAGUUACCGCAGGGAUAACAGCGUUAUUUUCUUUAAGAGCUCUUAUUGACAAGAAAGUUUGCGACCUCGAUGUUGGACCGGGGUAUCCAAGAGGUGCAAAAGCCUCUAAUGGUGGGUCUGUUCGACCUUUAAAACCCUACGUGAUCUGAGUUCAGACCGACGUAAGUCAGGUCAGUUUCUAUCUA